RNAcentral lists this non-coding RNA (24 nucleotides) under Rattus norvegicus (Norway rat). Lineage: Eukaryota; Metazoa; Chordata; Mammalia; Rodentia; Muridae. The record is from RNAcentral.
GAAACGUCCAAGGAUGGGCAACUU